RNAcentral lists this ribosomal RNA (271 nucleotides) under uncultured prokaryote. RNAcentral's name for it is "partial 16S ribosomal RNA". It matches the Rfam family "Bacterial small subunit ribosomal RNA", at positions 524 to 794 of the family's 1533-position model. The record is from RNAcentral.
UACGGAGGAUCCGAGCGUUAUCCGGAUUUAUUGGGUUUAAAGGGUGCGCAGGCGGGAGAUUAAGUCGGCGGUGAAAUUUUGCAGCUCAACUGUAAAAGUGCCUUCGAAACUGGUUUCCUUGAGUGUGGAUGAAGUAGGCGGAAUUUGUGGUGUAGCGGUGAAAUGCAUAGAUAUCACGAGGAACUACGAUUGCGCAGGCAGCUUACUAAACCAUAACUGACGCUCAGGCACGAAGGCGUGGGGAUCAAACAGGAUUAGAUACCCGUGUAGU